Molecule: ribosomal RNA, 656 nt
Filed under: uncultured bacterium
Lineage: Bacteria
Description: bacterial SSU rRNA
Rfam family: Bacterial small subunit ribosomal RNA
Source: RNAcentral
AGAGUUUGAUUAUGGCUCAGGAUGAACGCUGGCGGCGUGCUUAACACAUGCAAGUCGAACGAGAACCAUUGGAUCGAGGAUUCGUCCAAGUGAAGGUGGGGAAAGUGGCGGACGGGUGAGUAACGCGUGAGCAAUCUGCCUUGGAGUGGGGAAUAACGGCUGGAAACAGCCGCUAAUACCGCAUGAUACAGCUGGGAGGCAUCUCCCUGGCUGUCAAAGAUUUAUCGCUCUGAGAUGAGCUCGCGUCUGAUUAGCUAGUUGGCGGGGUAACGGCCCACCAAGGCGACGAUCAGUAGCCGGACUGAGAGGUUGGCCGGCCACAUUGGGACUGAGACACGGCCCAGACUCCUACGGGAGGCAGCAGUGGGGAAUAUUGGGCAAUGGGCGCAAGCCUGACCCAGCAACGCCGCGUGAAGGAAGAAGGCUUUCGGGUUGUAAACUUCUUUUGUCAGGGACGAAGCAAGUGACGGUACCUGACGAAUAAGCCACGGCUAACUACGUGCCAGCAGCCGCGGUAAUACGUAGGUGGCAAGCGUUAUCCGGAUUUAUUGGGUGUAAAGGGCGUGUANGCGGGAAUGCAAGUCAGAUGUGAAAACUAUGGGCUCAACCCAUAGCCUGCAUUUGAAACUGUAUUUCUUGAGUGCUGGAGAGGCAAU